Molecule: transfer RNA, 67 nt
Filed under: Perlomyia levanidovae
Lineage: Eukaryota; Metazoa; Arthropoda; Insecta; Plecoptera; Leuctridae
Description: tRNA-Asn
Source: RNAcentral
UUAAUUGAAGCCAAAGAAAAGAGGCAUAUCACUGUUAAUGAUAUCAUUGGGUCAACCCCCAAUUAAG